GCCCAGACUCCUACGGGAGGCAGCAGUGAGGAAUAUUGGUCAAUGGUCGGGAGACUGAACCAGCCAAGCCGCGUGAGGGAUGAAGGUACAGAGUAUCGUAAACCUCUUUUGUCAGGGAACAAAGGCGGGGACGUGUCCCCGGAUGAGUGUACCUGAAGAAAAAGCAUCGGCUAACUCCGUGCCAGCAGCCGCGGUAAUACGGAGGAUGCGAGCGUUAUCCGGAUUUAUUGGGUUUAAAGGGUGCGCAGGCGGAAGAUAAAGUCAGCGGUAAAAUUGAGAGGCGCAACCUCUUCGAGCCGUUGAAACUGGUUUUCUUGAGUGAGUGAGAAGUAUGCGGAAUGCGUGGUGUAGCGGUGAAAUGCAUAGAUAUCACGCAGAACUCCGAUUGCGAAGGCAGCAUACCGGCGCUCAACUGACGCUCAUGCACGAAAGUGUGGGUAUCGAACAGGAUUAGAUACCCUGGUAAAA
RNAcentral lists this ribosomal RNA (468 nucleotides) under uncultured bacterium. RNAcentral's name for it is "bacterial SSU rRNA". It matches the Rfam family "Bacterial small subunit ribosomal RNA", at positions 329 to 795 of the family's 1533-position model. The record is from RNAcentral.